Non-coding RNA from Epinephelus moara (kelp grouper), 632 nucleotides. Lineage: Eukaryota; Metazoa; Chordata; Actinopteri; Perciformes; Serranidae. The record is from the annotation of a RefSeq genome assembly.
UGGAUGCAGGCAGAAACUCUGCUAGCUAUGGCAGCUCCUUUCAAAGCCGUUUCAUCAUGACUGAAGAUGUGCCCAGCAGCAUUCAGUACCUCCAGGUCAAGAGCCUGACAGCAGAAGAUUCUGCUGUUUACUUCUGUGCUCGACAAAGCACAGUGACUGAAGACAGUGGAACAGCUGCACAAAAACCUCCACAGACAACAAACAGCAAUAGAGGAGGACAGAGAACAGUGGACACACAGUUUAACAUGAUGGACUAUAGGACAGGACUGCUGCUUUUAACUAUCUGCUGGGCAGGUGUUGAUGGUCAGACUCUGACAGAAUCUGAACCAGUGAUUAAAAAGCCUGGAGAAUCUCACAGACUGACCUGUACAGCCUCUGGAUUGUCGAUCACUGGCUACGAGAUGAACUGGGUCAGACAGGCUCCUGGAAAAGGACUGGAGUGGGUUGCUUAUAUCAGUAGUAGCAGUAGCUACAUCUACUACUCUCAGUCAGUUCAAGGCCGGUUCACCAUCUCCAGAGACAACAGCAGACAGCAGGUGUAUCUGCAGAUGAACAGUCUGAAGACUGAAGAUUCUGCUGUUUAUUAUUGUGCUCGAGAGCCACAGUGACUGGAGUUGGUUGAGCAGCUGUAC